RNAcentral lists this ribosomal RNA (445 nucleotides) under uncultured bacterium. RNAcentral describes it as "SSU rRNA". It matches the Rfam family "Bacterial small subunit ribosomal RNA", at positions 26 to 518 of the family's 1533-position model. The record is from RNAcentral.
AGAGCGAACGCUGGCGGCAGGCUUAACACAUGCAAGUCGAGCGGGCGUAGCAAUACGUCAGCGGCAGACGGGUGAGUAGCGCGUGGGAACAUACCUUUUGGUUCGGAACAACACAGGGAAACUUGUGCUAAUACCGGAUAAGCCCUUACGGGGAAAGAUUUAUCGCCGAAAGAUUGGCCCGCGUCUGAUUAGCUAGUUGGUGAGGUAAUGGCUCACCAAGGCGACGAUCAGUAGCUGGUCUGAGAGGAUGAUCAGCCACAUUGGGACUGAGACACGGCCCAAACUCCUACGGGAGGCAGCAGUGGGGAAUAUUGGACAAUGGGCGCAAGCCUGAUCCAGCCAUGCCGCGUGAGUGAUGAAGGCCUAGGGUUGUAAAGCUCUUUGUGCGGGAAGAUAAUGACGGUACCGCAAGAAUAAGCCCGGCUAACUUCGCGCCAGCAGCCGC